Molecule: ribosomal RNA, 406 nt
Filed under: uncultured bacterium
Lineage: Bacteria
Description: partial 16S ribosomal RNA
Rfam family: Bacterial small subunit ribosomal RNA
Source: RNAcentral
AUUGAACGCUGGCGGCAGGCCUAACACAUGCAAGUCGAACGAGUGGCGGACGGGUGAGUAAUGUCUGGGAAACUGCCAGAUGGAGGGGGAUAACUACUGGAAACGGUAGCUAAUACCGCAUACCAUCGGAUGUGCCCAGAUGGGAUUAGCUUGGAGGUGAGGUAACGGCUCACAUAGGCGACGAUCCCUAGCUGGUCUGAGAGUAUGACCAGCCAAAGUGGAACUGAGACACGGUGUCGCAUCCGACGGGAGGCAGGAGUGGGGAAUAUUGAACAGUUGGCGGAAGACUGCUGCAGCCAUGGCGAGUGUAAGAAGAAGUCCGUCGGGUUGUAAAGUACUUUCAGCGGGGAGGCGGUACCCGCAGAAGAAGCACCGGCUAACUCCGUGCCAGCAGCCGCGGUAAUAC